UACAGAGGUCUCAAGCGUUGUUCGGAUUCAUUGGGCGUAAAGGGUGUGUAGGUGGCGCCGUAAGUCGGGUGUGAAAUUUCGGGGCUUAACUCCGAAACUGCAUUCGAUACUGCGGUGCUUGAGGACUGGAGAGGAGACUGGAAUUCAUGGUGUAGCAGUGAAAUGCGUAGAGAUCAUGAGGAAGACCAGUGGCGAAGGCGGGUCUCUGGACAGUUCCUGACACUGAGACACGAAGGCCAGGGGAGCAAACGGG
This 253-nucleotide ribosomal RNA is filed under the name uncultured bacterium. RNAcentral describes it as "partial 16S ribosomal RNA". It matches the Rfam family "Bacterial small subunit ribosomal RNA", at positions 524 to 776 of the family's 1533-position model. The record is from RNAcentral.